AGAGGGAAUUGGCCCAAAAAUUGGAUAGGGGUCAAGACGCAGUCGGGCGCCGGCGGCUGACUCAAGUGCCCCCCGAACCGCGCAAAAUGGUCGCCUAUUACACGGCUCACUAACUCUGCCUGGGGUGGGGGUACCUAUUAUUCGUCGGCGGUCUGGGAAUGAAAGUUAGUUCUCGCUAUCAUUCUGGCUAUACUCUUGAAUGAUAGCUCUAAUUUCACUUCGGAUGGACAUACGGCCCUUGGUCUCAUCCUCCGCAUUUUGACACGCUCGGGUUAACCACGUCUUGAGAUUUCUAAAAUCGUUAAGCGUGGUCGUUUCGUUUUCUGCCCGUGCCUUAUUGCUACCAAUUCGACUGAUUAGCUGUUCGACCACGUCUGUUGGCGAAGGCAGUUUCUUUAUGUCAGGAUAUUUCCGUGCUUCCUUCUUAAUGAGAGGGUAUAGCAGGUCGGCUAAAGUUUGCUUUUGGUUUUUUAUUUCCUCCAGCGUUUGCUCAUACACUGCUUGUUCGGCUGCGGGUACAUUGAGAUCAAAAGAAGGUUGUUUCGAAGAACUAGCACCACUUCGAUCGUCUCCGACGGAAAGAGGAAUUCUAUCCAUGGCAGAAAGAACAAAAUCGAGCAAGUCGGUAAGAAAUGGAGCAAAGAAAGCGGCUUCAAAAGAAAAGCCCCAGUUAGAGUCCAAAAGAAUACGAGUAACCAAAAGUACGGUGAUACUGAUAAUCACUCGUUUCAAAAGAGAGAAAAACAAAAUGCUGAAAAAGGUUCGAUUCAUUUUCUGUGAUGGAAAUAUUCUUCGCGGCUGGUUCUGAACGCCAUCUACUGUGGACUACUGAGAUGCCUUUCAUUGUCAACAGGGGAACGACCCCUAUUAUCGAGCGCGAACGACCUCUUUUCCUUCUGCCUAGGUCUGCUUCAACGAGCCUCGCUACUUCAUGGAGUGAAAGGGGCCUCCAAGUAAAGGCGGCCGAGGGAACCGCCUGCCUAGCAACAUCUUUUCUGGGUAAGUGACUCUCCUUUUCCGGAGAAAGAAAAAGAAAGAGCGUCAUUCCAAUUCCCUUUGAGUUAUAAAGAGUUUACAGAGCGGAAAUAUUUUGGCGGGCAAAUAGUAAGUAUUAUUCUCCUCUUCUAAAAUGCAUAACAGGCCCUUUUGUUCCGUAAUCCUAAAUCCAAUUUUUGGCUCUUAUAUAUCCGUAGU
This 1194-nucleotide unclassified non-coding RNA is filed under the name Hevea brasiliensis (rubber tree). The record is from RNAcentral. Lineage: Eukaryota; Viridiplantae; Streptophyta; Magnoliopsida; Malpighiales; Euphorbiaceae.